RNAcentral lists this ribosomal RNA (447 nucleotides) under uncultured bacterium. RNAcentral describes it as "bacterial SSU rRNA". It matches the Rfam family "Bacterial small subunit ribosomal RNA", at positions 328 to 792 of the family's 1533-position model. The record is from RNAcentral.
UGUCCAGACUCCUACGGGAGGCAGCAGUGGGGAAUAUUGCACAAUGGGGGGAACCCUGAUGCAGCGACGCCGCGUGAAGGAAGAAGUAUCUCGGUAUGUAAACUUCUAUCAGCAGGGAAGAAAGAGGACGGUACCUGACUAAGAAGCCCCGGCUAACUACGUGCCAGCAGCCGCGGUAAUACGUAGGGGGCGAGCGUUAUCCGGAUUCAUUGGGUUUAAAGGGUGCGCAGGCGGGCCUUUAAGCCGGCGGUAAAUGCGGGGGGCCCACCCCCGCCGAGCCGUCGGAACUGGGGGCCUUGAGUGCGGGGGAGGCAUGCGGAAUGCGCGGUGUAGCGGUGAAAUGCAUAGAUAUCGCGCAGAACCCCGAUUGCGAAGGCAGCGUGCCGUGCCGCCACUGACGCUGAGGCACGAAAGCGCGGGGAUCGAACAGGAUUAGAUACCCGAGUA